Molecule: small nuclear RNA, 19 nt
Filed under: Arabidopsis thaliana (thale cress)
Lineage: Eukaryota; Viridiplantae; Streptophyta; Magnoliopsida; Brassicales; Brassicaceae
Description: snRNA_11071
Source: RNAcentral
CCGUGCGCUGGAUUAUGAC